GGUCCCCACUCCCCCAAGUGCCAGUGCUCGGCUUCUCCCCGGACCUGCAGCAUCCCGGCCACCUGAGAGUUGCACGAUGGGGCCCACCACUAGGUUGGGUUGGGGGUUGGGCCCGUCCCAUCCCUGACAAUCUAUCCCAACCCCAACCGUGAGGUCACGGAUGCCUCCAUGUUAUCUAUCCCAACCUCGGUUGAUGCAAAGAUUCCUCCAAGUGCGACGAGACACCCUUCCAAUUCCAAAUCUCGGUUUCGGUUCGUCGUUGGAUUGGAUAGGAGAUAUCCAGAGGGGGAGAGAAGAUGGCAGGCAGCUAGAGCGGCUUAUUCAAAGGCAGGUAGAUGAGGGAUCCGAAAGCCUUCCUCCCACAAAAGGGAUGGAUAGAUGGUGGCAGACACGGCCCACCCGCACGACCAUUGCCGCAAGCCCAAGUCAAGCACCAUUCAGCGCGCUGUGAUAGUCUCCACCCACCUAAGCAAGAAGCAACAAAAAAGCUAGCUAGCAUGCAUCUACCUCUGAUGUAGACAUUAAUUCAUGGAUCGAACAAAUCGAUCCUACUCGAUAAUUUCAUCUUGGCUUAACAUCACCGUUGGCGAGCUCAGCUGCUGCUGUCUUGCUGGAGGGCACUCAGCUGAUUCCGAACCUGCAGUCCACCUAAUUUUGGUGGGGGGUGUACUAGUCCUCAACAAGAAAGUGCCAGCAAAUUUACCGUCUCGACUAACAUCAACCACAAACCCAGUCUAAUUCUUUCUUUUGUCGAUGAAAAAAAUGUGAAUUGCGUUUCAAAUAAUUAAUGCUCCUCCUAUGUAAUUAUGUUAAUGAUAAAUUUUACCAUUUCUGUUUUCUGCUUAUAAGAAUGAAUAUAUAUAUAUAUAUAAAGAGAGAGAGAGAGAGAUCCUUCAGAAUUUUAAGGUACUGUUUUAUGCAAUGGUGGUCAUAAAACUGAAAUUUUGGAAGAUUUUGGAGAAAAAAAUGGAUGCAUAUUAAUAAUGCUGAUAAAGAACAUUAGGAAAGAAGGAUACUGAUAACCAAAUCCCCAUUCUGAGCAACCUCUGUGGCCACAUGCACAAAGUUAUUGUCAAACAAAUAUUUACUGAUUCAACAUUAGAAAGAGAAGAUAACCAGCUUUGUGAACAAUUUUCUUGAUGAGGAACCACAUGUUGCAACAUGGAUUUCCAUGUGACCGGGUGUAGUGCUCUCAGCAGCUAACGGCCACCUGAAUCAUCAGUGUUCCAGCGAUAACAAAAUAGAAGCAUAUCUAAUUGCAAACAUCAUGAAUAUCACGAACAAGUUUCAUAGUCUUGGUAGAGCUACACAACCAGUAUACUUCGUAUCAAUUGUCCGGUCUGUAUAUACAAGUGUUGAUUGAUUAUAAUAUUGUUUCGUUUAUACAGGAUCCUAGCAGGUUUGCGGUUGCCGCUGCCCCGGUUGUUCUGCUGAGAUUGCACCUGCAGCCAAGGAAGAAGAGAAAAACGUGGAGCCUGCUGAGGAAUCUGAUGUGGACAAAUGGUCAUGGGCCUUCGUUUGUUUGAUUAGGGCCGUUAGGAUAUUGAAGGUAGUGAACACCGGGAUUUCCAUGUGCUCUUUAAUUAAACCUUCUUUUUUUUUUUUUGUAUUUUUUAGUUUGUGUAAAUAUGAUUGCGCCGCAUUUUUAAUUGUUGUUUUCCGUUGGCUUGAAGCACAUUCGAACAUGUGGUGGGUUCUUGGGUCCAAAAUCCGAUUCCCAAUUCUGAAGACUAUAGAUGUGAUAUCAUUCCUAAGGAGUCUGUGGUGUCACACUGAAGGCUUUGGAUGUAGUUCGUGCAAUUUAUACCUUAGCUAUACCAUUCAGUGUCUUGUAUUGGCCUAAUAAAAUCUGGAGACUGGUGUUAUAUCUUUCAUUCGGUUGUAGUUAGAGAGUUACCUGCCUCCAUUUCUUAUAAUCUUCAUUACCUGGCAAACGCUUUGCUUCACUGAAGAAUGUGUCCAUGCACAAAUUUUGCAAGAUCACCGGCCUUUCUAGGAGUUGUGACAUCAGCAAAAUGAGUGCUUAACUGGCCCAACACAUGAAGAUUUUGUACCUGCAGUCCAAAUUAUUUUGAUGAAAGAACGCUGCCACAGCCAACUGCAAGAGGAGUUUUCUGGCCGACAUCCAGUUAAUCUUCAUGCAGCGGUGCAAAUAAUCAAGAUCCAAUUCUGCCGACUCAACUCAAACUGGAGCAAAGCUAGAAGCAAACUCUUCAUGGAAAGUAUUUUCGUCCUGUAAGACUAGUUAACAAAUUAGUAGAAAGAUGCAUGUUCCAUUGAGCACCUGCGAUUAUGCUUAAAUUAUGCAAGCAUUGCAUCUGAAUUAUUGUAAAUCAGUUGAAACAAAAAUCACAAAUUUAUUUUCGGU
This is a long non-coding RNA of Elaeis guineensis (African oil palm), 2368 nucleotides long. RefSeq lists it as uncharacterized. Lineage: Eukaryota; Viridiplantae; Streptophyta; Magnoliopsida; Arecales; Arecaceae. The record is from RefSeq and is a predicted model, not a curated record.